UACCCCGUCUUGAAACACGGACCAAGGAGUCUAGCAUGUGCGCGAGUCAUUGGGAUUUUUUUACACUAAACCCAGAGGCGCAAUGAAAGUGAAAGGCGCGGCCUCGGUCGCGCCGGAGGGAAGAUGCGCGGACGGCGUCCGCCGCCCCGCCGCAUUCCCGAGGCGUUUCGAGAAAGCCACCGUUGUUAUUAUCGAGACGCACUGAGAGCGUACACGCUGGGACCCGAAAGAUGGUGAACUAUGCCUGGUCAGGUCGAAGUCAGGGGAA
This 268-nucleotide ribosomal RNA is filed under the name Rhyacophila coloradensis. Its description in RNAcentral is "partial 28S large subunit ribosomal RNA". It matches the Rfam family "Eukaryotic large subunit ribosomal RNA", at positions 645 to 860 of the family's 3401-position model. Lineage: Eukaryota; Metazoa; Arthropoda; Insecta; Trichoptera; Rhyacophilidae. The record is from RNAcentral.